UUCUUUGUUUCUUUUUCUCUGUUUCUGAUUCCAAGAAACUUGUAACUGUCUCGGCACUCAACUAUUAGCAGUUCGAUCAAUGGACUGGGGUCUAUAGCAAAUAGAAAAGAACCAAGAAGAUGAAAGGGGAGUCAUCUGGGUUGAUCAUUGGAAUCUCAAUAGGGGUGGUGAUUGGAGUGCUUCUAGCUGUUUUGUCACUCUUCUGUUUUAGGUGUCAUAGGAAACGCUCGCAGAUAGGUAAUAGUAGUUCGAGGAGGGCCGCCACCAUCCCUAUCCGGGCAAACGGUGCUGAUUCGUGUACUAUAUUAU
Molecule: unclassified non-coding RNA, 309 nt
Filed under: Hevea brasiliensis (rubber tree)
Lineage: Eukaryota; Viridiplantae; Streptophyta; Magnoliopsida; Malpighiales; Euphorbiaceae
Source: RNAcentral